This 435-nucleotide ribosomal RNA is filed under the name uncultured bacterium. RNAcentral describes it as "bacterial SSU rRNA". It matches the Rfam family "Bacterial small subunit ribosomal RNA", at positions 43 to 524 of the family's 1533-position model. The record is from RNAcentral.
CAGGCCUAACACAUGCAAGUCGAACGCCCUCGCAAGGGGGAGUGGCAGACGGGUGAGUAACACGUGGGAACAUACCCUUCGGUUUGGAACAACGCCGGGAAACUGGCGCUAAUACCGGAUACGCCCUUUGGGGGAAAGGCUUGACCGCCGAAGGAGUGGCCCGCGUUCGAUUAGCUUGAUGGCGGGGUAACGGCCCACCAUGGCGACGAUCGAUAGCUGGUCUGAGAGGAUGGCCAGCCACAUUGGGACUGAGACACGGCCCAAACUCCUACGGGAGGCAGCAGUGGGAAUAUUGGACAAUGGGCGCAAGCCUGAUCCAGCCAUGCCGCGUGAGUGAUGACGGCCUUAGGGUUGUAAAGCUCUUUCGCACGCGACGAUAAUGACGGUAGCGUGAGAAGAAGCCCCGGCUAACUUCGUGCCAGCAGCCGCGGUAAU